Molecule: ribosomal RNA, 485 nt
Filed under: uncultured bacterium
Lineage: Bacteria
Description: partial 16S ribosomal RNA
Rfam family: Bacterial small subunit ribosomal RNA
Source: RNAcentral
AGUGAACGCUGGCGGCGUGCUUAACACAUGCAAGUCGAACGAGAACGGAUUAUAGCUUGCUGUAAUUGUCAGCUAAGUGGCGCACGGGUGAGUAAUGUAUAGAUAACCUGCCCUUAAGAAAGGAAUAACAGUUGGAAACGACUGCUAAUGCCCUAUAUGCCUUUAAUACAUAAGUAUGCAAGGGAAACGCUUUAGUGCUUAAGGAUGGGUCUGUAUGGUAUCAGUUAGUUGGUGAGGUAAUGGCUCACCAAGACAAUGACGCCUAACUGGUUUGAGAGGAUGAUCAGUCACACUGGAACUGAGACACGGUCCAGACUCCUACGGGAGGCAGCAGUGGGGAAUAUUGCACAAUGGACGAAAGUCUGAUGCAGCAACGCCGCGUGGAGGAUGACACAUUUCGGUGCGUAAACUCCUUUUAUAUAGGAAGAUAAUGACGGUACUAUAUGAAUAAGCACCGGCUAACUCCGUGCCAGCCGCCGCCGUAA